Molecule: ribosomal RNA, 301 nt
Filed under: uncultured bacterium
Lineage: Bacteria
Description: partial 16S ribosomal RNA
Rfam family: Bacterial small subunit ribosomal RNA
Source: RNAcentral
CAGCAGCCGCGGUAAUACGGAGGGGGCUAGCGUUGUUCGGAAUUACUGGGCGUAAAGCGCACGUAGGCGGCUUGGUAAGUUAGAGGUGAAAGCCCGGAGCUCAACUCCGGAAUUGCCUUUAAGACUGCCGAGCUAGUAGGUGAGGGAGGUAAGUGGAAUUCCGAGUGUAGAGGUGAAAUUCGUAGAUAUUCGGAAGAACACCAGUGGCGAAGGCGGCUUACUGGCUCAUUCUAGACGCUGAGGUGCGAAAGCGUGGGGAGCAAACAGGAUUAGAUACCCGCGUAGUCCCUGUCUCUUAUAC